GACGAACGCUGGCGGCGCGCUUAACACAUGCAAGUCGAACGGAAAGGCCUGCUUUCCCUUGUGGAUUGCGGGUACUCGAGUGGCGAACGGGUGAGUAACACGUGAGUGAUCUGCCCCCAACUUGGGUAUAAGCCUGGGAAACUGGGUCUAAUUCCCGAUAGGACUGCAGGGUGGUGCCUGUGGUGGAAAACGAUUUUCUAGUGGUUGGGGAUGAGCUCGCGGCCUAUCAGCUUGUUGGUGGGGUAAUGGCCUACCGAGGCGGCGACGGGUAGCCGGCCUGAGAGGGUGGACGGCCACAUUGGGACUGAGAUACGGCCCAGACUCCUACGGGAGGCAGCAGUGGGGAAUAUUGCACAAUGGGCGGAAGCCUGAUGCAGCGACGCCGCGUGGGGGAUGACGGCCUUCGGGUUGUAAACUCCUUUCGACCGCGAGGAAGCCACCUGGUUGGAAGGGUGGUGACGGUAGUGGUAGAAGAAGCACCGGCUAGCUACGUG
This 494-nucleotide ribosomal RNA is filed under the name uncultured bacterium. RNAcentral describes it as "partial 16S ribosomal RNA". It matches the Rfam family "Bacterial small subunit ribosomal RNA", at positions 28 to 507 of the family's 1533-position model. The record is from RNAcentral.